This is a long non-coding RNA of Gossypium arboreum, 2591 nucleotides long. RefSeq lists it as uncharacterized. The transcript has 3 exons. The record is from RefSeq and is a predicted model, not a curated record. NCBI's taxonomy places the organism in Eukaryota, Viridiplantae, Streptophyta, Magnoliopsida, Malvales, Malvaceae.
CUCAGCUAUUUCUUCAUUAUGUCUGAUUAAUGAUAAUUGAAAUAGCUGACAUCAAUAAUUUUGUCAGAACUAGAACAAUAUCUUUCUAGUUUGGUCUUUUUGCUAUCAAAUUUGGUCUGCAAUUAUCGGGCGUGGUAUUUUGCUUUCGGCAAUUUUUGAGCUUUGGGUUUUAGGAUAAUUGGGUUUCUCUAAAGGAAUGAACCAAUUAAAAGAUUGAAUUUUGGACCCAAAUCUGGACCUUUCUGGCCCAAUUUUCAAUUCAAUGGGCGGGACGGCGGCUCUCUUCCUGUUUAUUUCUAAAGAAAUUCUAGGGUUUAUAAGUUCAAUCCUCCCAUUUCUGAAUAUUCUCUUCGUUUUUAGUUUGUCCGAUUUCUGAAAUUCCGGAAGACUUGGCGAAAAAUAGAAACAAGAAGAAGAGAAAUGGCGUCGCUUCGAUGUGCGUCAACGAUGGAACUGUUCCCGAUCUUCCUCAACAAUGGCUGCUUCAGAGACUGGAGUUCAAAAGCCUGAUUCUGCUAGUGCAAAACUGGAAGUGUUACUUUAUCUACUAUAUUUUUGUUUGUUUGUUAGCUUCUACAAAAAAAGAAAGAAUUAGUUAUUUAAAGAAGGAAUUAAUUACUUAAUGAUGAAAAUGGUUGUUUCUCACAUGCAUAUAUCAUAUAGACAUAGGCUUACGUAUGUGUAAGAUUGGAUUGUAGUUGAAGUCUUUUACUUGUAUUUGGUUGAAAGUUCUAGGGAUAUAAUAGCAUGUGGGAGGUGAAUUGUUAAUGUUCUAUGGAUUUGAUACGAUAGCAUAUUCGGGGAUAGCAUGAUUUAAGGGCAAAUGCAAAUAUCGAGCACAAUUCUGGACAGAAAACAUGAUUGAGAAGUGAAUUUUACAUUGAUGCCUUCUUGUUUAGAUGAGUAUUUUCAUUAAUGAUCUCUGCAUUUUGAUUGGUAGCAUGAUUGGAACGUGUUCUUUGGAUUCUUCUAAGCUCGCAUUUAGUUCUGGAUAUGUGUACUUCUGAGUUUAUCAGGGAUUGUUAGUUUGUUAGUGAUAACAUGCUGUAAUGUUUAUGCUUGGCCUUGUUUCUCUUUGGCAGUUUGUGACUCUUAUCGGCUUCAUCUUCUCUUCUUGCAAGCUUGUUUCACUUUAUUGUGAUUCUCGGAAUUCAAGGCUUUUUAGUUUUGUUUUUUUAGUGAUGUUGUUUUUCUAGAUAAUAAAACCCACCAUAACAAAGUUUUAUUCACAUAGAAAAGUUAUGGCCACUUUGCGGACUCCUGUUAAUCUGAUUCCCAUUUUUGAAAUGAUUUUCUUCAUGGCGUGCAUAACUUGCAUCAUGUUUAUAAAUUUACAAAUGAGGCCAAGCCCGAGAGGAAUAUCCACUUUUGAAAUGAUUUUCUUCGUGGCAUGUGAUAAUUACAUCAUGUUUAUAAAUUUUUGAACAAGCCCAAGCCUCAAACGGAUUUCCAUUUUUGAAAUGAUUUUCUUCGUGGCAUGUUUUAAUUACAUCAUGUUUAUAAAUUUACGAACGGGGCCAAGCCCGAAAGGUAUUUCCAUUUUUGAAAUGAUUUUCUUUGUGGCAUGCGUUAAUUACAUCAUGUUUAUAAAUUUACAAAUGAGCCCAAGCCCGAAACACUGUUGCCGUUACGGAACAUACUUCUUUAAAAGCCGUAAUCUUAACGCGUCUUUGUUCAACUUCAUUCUAUUGUGUCAUUGUUAUCUCCUUAUUCUGUUUCACCAAACCACUAACUCUCUACCUAUCUUGAAACAGAAAGACGAAGAAGGGACGACCAAUGAAGAGAUUGAAAAAUGUUCAGAAGAUGAAGACGGUGGAAAAAGCUAUUGCUAUGAAUGAGAAGUAUGCGGAGAAAAGCUCCAAGAUCAAAAGUGUAUAUGUCAUGUUUUCGUAACGUAUUUGCUGUGUAUACUACAGUUCAAAAAUGAGAUGACAAAUUAGGUGAUGUGGAAAUAAGUGGCUGACAAGGGGCUGAAGCAUCUUUUGCAUGUAACUGUCAAGGCCAACACCUGUUUGAAGCAGGAAGAGGAAUCUGUGUCUCUUAAAAAGCUUCGAUAACACCCAAGUUCAAAAAAUGAUACGACAAAUUAGGUGCUGUGGAAAUAGGUGGCUGACAAGGGGCUGGAGCAUCUUUUGCAUGUAACUGUUGAAGCCAACACUUGUUUGAAGCACGGAGAGGAAUUUUUAUCACUUAGAAAGUUCCAAAACCACCCAAAGUUUUAAUCCACUACAGUAUCUUAAACAUUACAUUUGUUGCUAUAUACACCUAGGAGUUAUAGGUGUAUAGCAUAUAACAAUAGAAAAUAAUGUUUAAGAUGCCGUUAGGCAUGUUUGUAGUGGACUAAAAUUUUGAUUGGCUUUGGAUCAAUCCAACUGUCCAGAAAGGGUGGAAGAGUAACUAAAAAAAUGAUAGGAAGAGGAAGAGAGUAGUUUGGCUGGGGCGUAUCGAUGUCUAUGUCAAUGUGACUAAAAUUUCGAGGGAGAACGGUAAGAUUUACCUCUCUACUUUAAUAGAAUUAAGGGUGAACAAAAUUUGGUUCGACUCGAAAAAAAUAAAAAUAAAAAGUUUGAAUUUCAAAUUAUUCGAAUCAA